This 497-nucleotide ribosomal RNA is filed under the name uncultured bacterium. RNAcentral describes it as "partial 16S ribosomal RNA". It matches the Rfam family "Bacterial small subunit ribosomal RNA", at positions 28 to 507 of the family's 1533-position model. The record is from RNAcentral.
GAUGAACGCUGGCGGCGUGCCUAAUACAUGCAAGUCGAGCGAACAGACGAGGAGCUUGCUCCUCUGACGUUAGCGGCGGACGGGUGAGUAACACGUGGAUAACCUACCUAUAAGACUGGGAUAACUUCGGGAAAACGGAGCUAAUACCGGAUAAUAUAUUGAACCGCAUGGUUCAAUAGUGAAAGACGGUUUUGCUGUCACUUAUAGAUGGAUCCGCGCCGCAUUAGCUAGUUGGUAAGGUAACGGCUUACCAAGGCGACGAUGCGUAGCCGACCUGAGAGGGUGAUCGGCCACACUGGAACUGAGACACGGUCCAGACUCCUACGGGAGGCAGCAGUAGGGAAUCUUCCGCAAUGGGCGCAAGCCUGACGGAGCCACGCCGCGUGAGUGAUGAAGGUCUUCGGAUCGUAAAACUCUGUUAUUAGGGAAGAACAAAUGUGUAAGUAACUAUGCACGUCUUGACGGUACCUAAUCAGAAAGCCACGGCUAACUACGUG